GUUCAGUAGGUAGAAUGGAUGAAUAGUCAGGAAAAGUAGUUAUCAUUUGUAGUAUAGGAGUUGGUAUCUCGGGAUAGUAUAAGGAGGAUGGGAGAGGGAAAGAAAAUGCCAUCGCUGUGAUAGUUGUGAGGUGGGGUAAGCUUGGUGCUACCUCUUUUCUUUUGUUUGUUAUUUUCUUUGAAUAAGAGGAUUGAAAGUUUCUGAAUAUUGUGAAGUGAAUUAUGGAAUAGAAAUGUGAUUGGUAUUAUUUGAGAAGAAGAAAGAUUGAAUGCUAAAAUCUGAUUAUAAUUCAAAAGAGAAAAUGAGUCUCUAUUUGUGUGAAACACCAUAAUAUGAAUGGUAGUUCUGUGUGAAGAAUUCCAGUGAUUGAAAUGAGGAUAAUUAUGUGUUGAAAGCUGUGAGGGUGCAGUAUUACAAUUAGAGAUUAUGAAGGUGAAUAUAUUGGUGGAAAUAGUAGUUAUUGAUAUGACUGAAUUGCUGUAAAGAAGAGACUGAUAAGGUGAAGGAGGAGAUUAUAGUUUCCUUAUGUGUUCAGAUAUUAGAAAUAGAGACG
RNAcentral lists this long non-coding RNA (553 nucleotides) under Physcomitrium patens. RNAcentral describes it as "long non-coding RNA (PPAT_LNC004802)". The record is from RNAcentral. Lineage: Eukaryota; Viridiplantae; Streptophyta; Bryopsida; Funariales; Funariaceae.